GAUGAACGCUGGCGGCGUGCCUAAUACAUGCAAGUCGAGCGAACAGAUGAGGAGCUUGCUCCCCUGACGUUAGCGGCGGACGGGUGAGUAACACGUGGAUAACCUACCUAUAAGACUGGGAUAACUACGGGAAACCGGAGCUAAUACCGGAUAAUAUAUUGAACCGCAUGGUUCAAUAGUGAAAGACGGUUUUGCUGUCACUUAUAGACGGAUCCGCGCCGCAUUAGCUAGUUGGUAAGGUAACGGCUUACCAAGGCAACGAUGCGUAGCCGACCUGAGAGGGUGAUCGGCCACACUGGAACUGAGACACGGUCCAGACUCCUACGGGAGGCAGCAGUAGGGAAUCUUCCGCAAUGGGCGAAAGCCUGACGGAGCAACGCCGCGUGAGUGAUGAAGGUCUUCGGAUCGUAAAACUCUGUUAUUAGGGAAGAACAAAUGUGUAAGUAACUAUGCACGUCUUGACGGUACCUAAUCAGAAAGCCACGGCUAACUACGUG
This 497-nucleotide ribosomal RNA is filed under the name uncultured bacterium. RNAcentral describes it as "partial 16S ribosomal RNA". It matches the Rfam family "Bacterial small subunit ribosomal RNA", at positions 28 to 507 of the family's 1533-position model. The record is from RNAcentral.